This 484-nucleotide ribosomal RNA is filed under the name uncultured bacterium. Its description in RNAcentral is "partial 16S ribosomal RNA". It matches the Rfam family "Bacterial small subunit ribosomal RNA", at positions 28 to 523 of the family's 1533-position model. The record is from RNAcentral.
GACGAACGCUGGCGGCGUGCUUAACACAUGCAAGUCGAACGAUGAAGCCGGAGCUUGCUCUGGUGAAUUAGUGGCGAACGGGUGAGUAACACGUGAGUAACCUGCCCUUGACUCUGGGAUAACUGCGGGAAACUGUAGCUAAUACCGGAUACGACCCUCGGAGGCAUCUCCUGGGGGUGGAAAGAAUUUCGGUCAAGGAUGGACUCGCGGCCUAUCAGCUAGUUGGUGAGGUAAAGGCUCACCAAGGCGACGACGGGUAGCCGGCCUGAGAGGGGGACCGGCCAAACGGGGACUGAGACACGGCCCAGACUCCUACGGGAGGCAGCAGUGGGGAAUAUUGCACAAUGGGCGCAAGCCUGAUGCAGCACCGCCGCGUGAGGGAUGACGGCCUUCGGGUUGUAAACCUCUUUUAGCAGGGAAGAAGCGAAAGUGACGGUACCUGCAGAAAAAGCACCGGCUAACUACGUGCCAGCCGCCGCCGUAA